AUUGAACGCUGGCGGCAGGCCUAACACAUGCAAGUCGAACGAGUGGCGGACGGGUGAGUAAUGUCUGGGAAACUGCCUUAUGGCGGGGGAUAACUACUGGAAACGGUAGCUAAUACCGCAUACCAUCAGAGGUGCCCAGAUGGGUGGAGCGUGUUGGGGGGGUAACGGUUCACCAAGGCGACUAUCCCUAGCUGGUCUGAGAGGAUGACCAGCCACACGGGAACUGAGACACGGUCCAGACUCCUACGGGAGGCAGCAGUGGGGAAUAUUGCACAAUGGGCGCAAGCCUGAUGCAGCCAUGCCGCGUGUAUGAAGAAGGCCUUCGGGUUGUAAAGUACUUUCAGCGGGGAGGCGUUACCCGCAGAAGAAGCACCGGCUAACUCCGUGCCAGCAGCCGCGGUAAUUC
RNAcentral lists this ribosomal RNA (406 nucleotides) under uncultured bacterium. RNAcentral's name for it is "partial 16S ribosomal RNA". It matches the Rfam family "Bacterial small subunit ribosomal RNA", at positions 30 to 526 of the family's 1533-position model. The record is from RNAcentral.